This 520-nucleotide ribosomal RNA is filed under the name Alternaria alternata. Its description in RNAcentral is "eukaryotic LSU rRNA". The stretch from base 187 to 340 matches the Rfam family "5.8S ribosomal RNA". Lineage: Eukaryota; Fungi; Ascomycota; Dothideomycetes; Pleosporales; Pleosporaceae. The record is from RNAcentral.
GAACCUGCGGAGGGAUCAUUACACAAAUAUGAAGGCGGGCUGGAACCUCUCGGGGUUACAGCCUUGCUGAAUUAUUCACCCUUGUCUUUUGCGUACUUCUUGUUUCCUUGGUGGGUUCGCCCACCACUAGGACAAACAUAAACCUUUUGUAAUUGCAAUCAGCGUCAGUAACAAAUUAAUAAUUACAACUUUCAACAACGGAUCUCUUGGUUCUGGCAUCGAUGAAGAACGCAGCGAAAUGCGAUAAGUAGUGUGAAUUGCAGAAUUCAGUGAAUCAUCGAAUCUUUGAACGCACAUUGCGCCCUUUGGUAUUCCAAAGGGCAUGCCUGUUCGAGCGUCAUUUGUACCCUCAAGCUUUGCUUGGUGUUGGGCGUCUUGUCUCUAGCUUUGCUGGAGACUCGCCUUAAAGUAAUUGGCAGCCGGCCUACUGGUUUCGGAGCGCAGCACAAGUCGCACUCUCUAUCAGCAAAGGUCUAGCAUCCAUUAAGCCUUUUUUUCAACUUUGACCUCGGAUCAGGAG